This 508-nucleotide ribosomal RNA is filed under the name uncultured bacterium. Its description in RNAcentral is "partial 16S ribosomal RNA". It matches the Rfam family "Bacterial small subunit ribosomal RNA", at positions 28 to 523 of the family's 1533-position model. The record is from RNAcentral.
GAUGAACGCUAGCUACAGGCUUAACACAUGCAAGUCGAGGGGAAACGAUAGAGAAAGCUUGCUUUUUCUAGGCGUCGACCGGCGCACGGGUGAGUAACGCGUAUCCAACCUGCCCAUCACUUGGGGAUAACCUUGCGAAAGUAAGACUAAUACCCAAUGAUAUCUCUAGAAGACAUCUGAAGGAGAUUAAAGAUUUAUCGGUGAAGGAUGGGGAUGCGUCUGAUUAGCUUGUUGGCGGGGUAACGGCCCACCAAGGCGACGAUCAGUAGGGGUUCUGAGAGGAAGGUCCCCAACAUUGGAACUGAGACACGGUCCAAACUCCUACGGGAGGCAGCAGUGAGGAAUAUUGGUCAAUGGACGAGAGUCUGAACCAGCCAAGUAGCGUGCAGGAUGACGGCCCUAUGGGUUGUAAACUGCUUUUAUAAGGGAAUAAAGUGAGUCUCGGGAGACUUUUUGCAUGUACCUUAUGAAUAAGGACCGGCUAAUUCCGUGCCAGCAGCCGCCGUAA